AUUGAACGCUGGCGGCAUGCCUUACACAUGCAAGUCGAACGGUAACGCGGGGCAACCUGGCGACGAGUGGCGAACGGGUGAGUAAUGCAUCGGAACGUGCCCAGUAGUGGGGGAUAGCCCGGCGAAAGCCGGAUUAAUACCGCAUACGACCUACGGGUGAAAGCGGGGGACCGUAAGGCCUCGCGCUGUUGGAGCGGCCGAUGUCAGAUUAGGUAGUUGGUGGGGUAAAGGCCUACCAAGCCUUCGAUCUGUAGCUGGUCUGAGAGGACGACCAGCCACACUGGGACUGAGACACGGCCCAGACUCCUACGGGAGGCAGCAGUGGGGAAUUUUGGACAAUGGGCGCAAGCCUGAUCCAGCCAUGCCGCGUGCGGGAAGAAGGCCUCGG
RNAcentral lists this ribosomal RNA (388 nucleotides) under uncultured bacterium. RNAcentral's name for it is "bacterial SSU rRNA". It matches the Rfam family "Bacterial small subunit ribosomal RNA", at positions 29 to 420 of the family's 1533-position model. The record is from RNAcentral.